RNAcentral lists this ribosomal RNA (483 nucleotides) under Apiomerus cazieri. RNAcentral's name for it is "partial 16S ribosomal RNA". It matches the Rfam family "Bacterial large subunit ribosomal RNA", at positions 1808 to 2561 of the family's 2925-position model. The record is from RNAcentral. Lineage: Eukaryota; Metazoa; Arthropoda; Insecta; Hemiptera; Reduviidae.
CAAAAACAUGUCCUUUUGUUUUUAUAUAAGGUCUAACCUGCCCAAUGAUUAUUAUUUAAUGGCCGCGGUAUUUUAACUGUGCUAAGGUAGCAUAAUCAUUUGUCUUUUAAUUGAAGGCUGGUAUGAAUGGUUGGACGAGGCAUAUUCUUUCUUUAAUUUAAUUUAUGAAUUUAAUUUUUUAGUUAAAAAGCUAAAAUUUAUUUGUUGGACGAGAAGACCCUAUAGAUCUUUAUAUUUAAUUUUAGUUAAUUAAUUUGGUUUAUUUAUUAAUUGGAUUAAUUUAAGUAUUUGGUUGGGGUGACUGUAGAAUUUGAUUAACUUCUAUUUUUGUUUUUUCAUUAAUUUAUGUAUUUUUGAUCCAUUAUUAGUGAUUAUAAGAUUAAGUUACCUUAGGGAUAACAGCGUAAUUUUUUUGGAGAGUUCAUAUCGAUAAAAAAGUUUGCGACCUCGAUGUUGGAUCCRAAUAAGUAAUAAGUGCAGCAG